This 515-nucleotide ribosomal RNA is filed under the name uncultured bacterium. RNAcentral's name for it is "bacterial SSU rRNA". It matches the Rfam family "Bacterial small subunit ribosomal RNA", at positions 28 to 532 of the family's 1533-position model. The record is from RNAcentral.
GACGAACGCUGGCGGCGUGCCUAACACAUGCAAGUCGAGCGGGGACAUUUAGCAAUAGAUGUUCUAGCGGCGGACGGGUGAGUAACGCGUGAACAAUCUGUCCCAGAGUGGGGGAUAACAGAUGGAAACAUCUGCUAAUACCGCAUAAGACCACGGGGCCACAUGGCCAUGAGGUAAAAGGAGAAAUCCUCUUUGGGGUGAGUUCGCGUCCGAUUAGCUAGUUGGCGGGGUAACGGCCCACCAAGGCGACGAUCGGUAGCCGGCCUGAGAGGGCGAUCCGCCACACUGGAACUGAGACACGGUCCAGACUCCUACGGGAGGCAGCAGUGGGGAAUUUUGGACAAUGGGGGCAACCCUGAUCCAGCCAUGCCGCGUGAGUGAAGAAGGCCUUCGGGUUGUAAAGCUCUUUCGGCCGGGAAGAAAUCGUAUGGGUUAAUACCCUGUGCGGAUGACGGUACCGGCAUAAGAAGCACCGGCUAACUACGUGCCAGCAGCCGCGGUAAGGCUACGUAGAC